UCUACGGGAGGCAGCAGUGGGGAAUAUUGCACAAUGGGGGAAACCCUGAUGCAGCGACGCCGCGUGUGUGAAGAAGUAUUUCGGUACGUAAAGCACUAUCAGCAGGGAAGAAAAUGACGGUACUUGACUCAGAAGCCCCGGCUAACUACGUGCCAGCAGCCGCGGUAAUACGUAGGGGGCAAGCGUUAUCCGGAUUUACUGGGUGUAAAGGGAGCGUAGACGGCAGCGCAAGUCUGGAGUGAAAUCCCAGGGCUUAACCAUGGAACUGCUUUGGAAACUGUGCAGCUAGAGUGCAGGAGAGGUAAGCGGAAUUCCUGGUGUAGCGGUGAAAUGCGUAGAUAUUAGGAGGAACACCAGUGGCGAAGGCGGCUUACUGGACUGUAACUGACGUUGAGGCUCGAAAGCGUGGGGAGCAAACAGGAUUAGAUACCCUUGUAGUC
This 440-nucleotide ribosomal RNA is filed under the name uncultured bacterium. RNAcentral's name for it is "partial 16S ribosomal RNA". It matches the Rfam family "Bacterial small subunit ribosomal RNA", at positions 338 to 795 of the family's 1533-position model. The record is from RNAcentral.